AUUGAACGCUGGCGGCAGGCCUAACACAUGCAAGUCGAACGAGUGGCGGACGGGUGAGUAAUGUCUGGGAAACUGCCCGAUGGAGGGGGAUAACUACUGGAAACGGUAGCUAAUACCGCAUACCAUCGGAUGUGCCCAGAUGGGAUUAGCUAGUAGGUGGGGUAACGGCUCACCUAGGCGACGAUCCCUAGCUGGUCUGAGAGGAUGACCAGCCAAACUGGAACUGGGACACGGGCCAGACUCCUAAGGGGGGCAAGAGGGGGGAAUAUUGGAAAAUGGGCGCAAGCCUGAUGCAGGCAUGCCGGGGGUAAUAAGAAGGCCUUCGGGGUGGAAAGUACUUUCAGCGGGGAAGCGUUACUCGCAGAAGAAGCCACGGCUAACUCCGGGCCAGCAGCCGCGGUAAUUC
Molecule: ribosomal RNA, 406 nt
Filed under: uncultured bacterium
Lineage: Bacteria
Description: partial 16S ribosomal RNA
Rfam family: Bacterial small subunit ribosomal RNA
Source: RNAcentral